Molecule: transfer RNA, 72 nt
Filed under: Camelus bactrianus (Bactrian camel)
Lineage: Eukaryota; Metazoa; Chordata; Mammalia; Artiodactyla; Camelidae
Also listed under: 1 other name
Rfam family: tRNA
About the family: Transfer RNA (tRNA) molecules are approximately 80 nucleotides in length.
Source: Rfam by way of RNAcentral
GAGGAUAUAGCUCAAGGUUAGAGCAUAUGCUUAGCAUGCACAAGUUCCUGGGUUCAAUCCCCAGUACCAUCU